AAACGACUCUCGGCAACGGAUAUCUCGGCUCUCGCAUCGAUGAAGAACGUAGCGAAAUGCGAUACUUGGUGUGAAUUGCAGAAUCCCGUGAACCAUYGAGUYUUUGAACGCAAGUUGCGCCCGAAGCCACUAGGCCGAGGGCACGUCUGCCUGGGCGUCACGC
This 163-nucleotide ribosomal RNA is filed under the name Brunia dregeana. RNAcentral's name for it is "5.8S ribosomal RNA". It matches the Rfam family "5.8S ribosomal RNA". Rfam says of the family: 5.8S ribosomal RNA (5.8S rRNA) is a component of the large subunit of the eukaryotic ribosome. Lineage: Eukaryota; Viridiplantae; Streptophyta; Magnoliopsida; Bruniales; Bruniaceae. The record is from RNAcentral.